AGACUCUUCAUAUUAAAAUUAAGGAAAUUAACAUUAUCUAUAGGAGAAUUGUAGAAAAAUUUAUUUAGUUUUUAGCUCUUGGAGCAUGACUUUCGCUUUAGCUUUUAAUUCAUUGAGUAAGGUUGUCGUCCACUGCAGAGAAUGGCUUUGACCAUGGAUGAAAGGCCUCUACCCAUUACAGUCUUGUGAAAGGAAAGAGAUUUUAGCUUAAGGUGAAAAAAUGUCGUAGAAUUUAAGAGGAAGAAAUUAUUGUCCGUUGAUGGGUUAUUACCUAUGUAGUUAAGGACAUCCUUUGUGGUAUAACAGUUAAAAUAGUAAAUAUAUUAA
RNAcentral lists this unclassified non-coding RNA (327 nucleotides) under Hevea brasiliensis (rubber tree). The record is from RNAcentral. Lineage: Eukaryota; Viridiplantae; Streptophyta; Magnoliopsida; Malpighiales; Euphorbiaceae.